Molecule: ribosomal RNA, 254 nt
Filed under: uncultured bacterium
Lineage: Bacteria
Description: partial 16S ribosomal RNA
Rfam family: Bacterial small subunit ribosomal RNA
Source: RNAcentral
UACGUAGGGUGCGAGCGUUGUCCGGAAUUAUUGGGCGUAAAGAGCUCGUAGGCGGCUCAGUAAGUCAGGUGUGAAAACUCCAGGCUCAACCUGGAGACGCCACUUGAUACUGCUGUGGCUAGAGUCCGGUAGGGGAGCAUGGAAUUCCUGGUGUAGCGGUGAAAUGCGCAGAUAUCAGGAGGAACACCAGUGGCGAAGGCGGUGCUCUGGGCCGGAACUGACGCUGAGGAGCGAAAGCGUGGGGAGCAAACAGG